GGUAUGUAGCUCAGUGGUGGAGGGCUUGCCUCAUAUGCGUGAGACACUGGGUUCAAUCCUCAGCACCA
This 68-nucleotide transfer RNA is filed under the name Marmota monax (woodchuck). RNAcentral describes it as "tRNA.Met". Lineage: Eukaryota; Metazoa; Chordata; Mammalia; Rodentia; Sciuridae. The record is from RNAcentral.